Molecule: long non-coding RNA, 1283 nt
Filed under: Homo sapiens (human)
Lineage: Eukaryota; Metazoa; Chordata; Mammalia; Primates; Hominidae
Description: HSALNT0005083
Source: RNAcentral
AGCCAGUCUGCAGCCAGUUGUCCUGGUUGGGCUCCAGCACAUUGCACACUUGGAGGCAUCGGAUCAGCAGCCUGCAACCUCUCAGCAUGGAUCACAGAAAAUGGUUUGGACAGCAGAGUCCGCAGACCAGAGACAGGAGGUCAGGACACCCCGGAGUCUUGGGAGAUUACCCUCUGGAGCUUAAACCAGGGGGUGGGCCACCAAGGUGAGGGCCUCUCCAGAGGCGUCAGCGACUGUGGGCAGGACCGCCGACGGCUUUCCGAGAUCCGCGCAACUGACAGCACAUCGGAAUCGCGAACUGGAAGGCAUCAGCCAUCCAGGGCCCAGACCAACCCCGCGGUCAACGCCUCAGAUUCCAGCUCCUCCGGAUUCUGCACCUAGAUAUGACGCCUCUGGAUUCAACUGAGCGUAUAGCUCCCCUAAAUGCACAAUCAGAGGCAAGACGCGGGCUCCAGUAUCGCCGACAGCCUCAAACCCGGCAACGCGGAGCGCGCCCGGCAGACUACGCUCAGAAUUCAGCACUGCGGACAGUUCCAUGAUCAGCACGUCGGGCAGCGCCCGGAUCCAGCCCCCUCGACCAGCAUUCCACCUUCUGUUGGCCACACUGUGGUCUCCUAGCCCCUGUAGUCCGGGCUCCAUCCCGUCUCCCCAUAUUCCGAGCUCACCUCCGCAUCUCCCUGUCUCCACUCUUCAUCUCCCCGCCCCCGCACCUCCCACCUCCAAUCACUCAGCUUGUCCGUCUCACCGGCCGCUGGACCGCCGCCUCUGGCUCCCGCGGUUCCUGGCCUCUUUCUUUCCCAACCUCCCGGGUCUCCAGCCCCCAAGCUCCUCAGCGCCCCUCUCUUCGCUACUGCUUGAUCACAUUUUUCUCUGUCUCUCCAGUUCUUUGCUGCCUGCUUGCUUCAAGCCCCAAUACAGACUCUAGUCUCUCCAAUGACUCCUUCCCCCAGAACCCCCAUCGCCAGCCCCCUAUCUUUUGGUAUGCCACGCUCCGAGCAGAGCUCACCAGUCUUCUCACCUUCCUCGGCGGUCCCAGGCCGCCAGGGUCCCAAAAGCAGCGCGAGACAGAGCUGCAUCCGGCAGAGGAAGAGGCGCAGCGGGUGUGGACCGGCGCAGGUCUCCAUGGUCCGCAGACCGAGCUGUCAGUCCGGCGGCGGCUCAAGCCGCGCCAGCCUAGCACCGCUGAGCAAUGCCCCCAGACCCCAGAGCCAGCGGGGGGCGGAGUCUCACCGCUCACCAUCAUCCAUGGGAACCAAUCACUAGGCACCGCCGCGGGAUGCCAA